This 445-nucleotide ribosomal RNA is filed under the name uncultured bacterium. Its description in RNAcentral is "SSU rRNA". It matches the Rfam family "Bacterial small subunit ribosomal RNA", at positions 26 to 518 of the family's 1533-position model. The record is from RNAcentral.
AGAACGAACGCUGGCGGCAGGCUUAACACAUGCAAGUCGAACGCCCCGCAAGGGGAGUGGCAGACGGGUGAGUAACGCGUGGGAAUCUACCUAGCUCUUCGGAAUAGCUCCGGGAAACUGGAAUUAAUACCGUAUACGCCCUUCGGGGGAAAGAUUUAUCGGGGAAGGAUCGGCCCGCGUUGGAUUAGGUAGUUGGUGGGGUAAUGGCCUACCAAGCCGACGAUCCAUAGCUGGUUUGAGAGGAUGACCAGCCACACUGGGACUGAGACACGGCCCAGACUCCUACGGGAGGCAGCAGUGGGGAAUCUUAGACAAUGGGGGCAACCCUGAUCUAGCCAUGCCGCGGUGGACGAUGAAGGCCUUAGGGUUGUAAAGUCCUUUCGCUGGGGAAGAUAAGUGACGGUACCAGUAAAGACGCCCGGCUAACUCCGUGCCAGCAGCCGAC